UGUGUAAGCGAAGCUAUAUGUGGAGCGGUGAAAGGCUCAGUAACGGGCGAUUUAUUUAAUCUCCUGGGACGGACAACAUCGGGAAACUGAUGGGAAAACGUCUAAGUUGCAUUAAUUUUAGUGUGACGUAAACGGAUACGUGCAGGAGAGUAAGAUGCCAUCCUAUCAGUUAGUAAGUAGGGUAAGGGCCUACUUAGACGAAGACGGGUACGGGGAAUGAGGGUUUGAUUCCGGAGAGGGAGCCUGAGAGAUGGCUACCAGGACCAAGGUCAGCAGCAGGCGCGAAAAUUAUCGAAGCCCGCCUAGGGGCGAUAGUGAGGAGACGUGUAUAACGAAGUACGUGUAAAGAACGUACUAAUAACUGGAGGUCAAGUCUGGUGCCAGCAGCCGCG
This 392-nucleotide ribosomal RNA is filed under the name Dictyocoela muelleri. Its description in RNAcentral is "SSU rRNA". It matches the Rfam family "Microsporidia small subunit ribosomal RNA", at positions 53 to 404 of the family's 1311-position model. The record is from RNAcentral. Lineage: Eukaryota; Fungi; Microsporidia.